UGGGUUAUAGCUCAGUGGUAAAGCGUUUGCUUAGCAUGCAUAAGGUCCUGGGUUCAAUCCCAGGACCUCCA
Molecule: transfer RNA, 71 nt
Filed under: Camelus bactrianus (Bactrian camel)
Lineage: Eukaryota; Metazoa; Chordata; Mammalia; Artiodactyla; Camelidae
Also listed under: 2 other names
Rfam family: tRNA
About the family: Transfer RNA (tRNA) molecules are approximately 80 nucleotides in length.
Source: Rfam by way of RNAcentral